AGCUAACUGAAUCAUUAUGAGUCAUUAAUUUGGUGAUUAUGAUAACAUAAGGGAAAAAAAUGAUAUUACCUUAUUAUUAGUGUUGUCCAAAACUGGUGCCAGAAGACUCGGUAAGACCAGAGACGCAAACGUUAGUCAUCUUAAUCAGGCGUAAAGGGUGUGUAGGCUGCUUUAAAAGUUUAAAUCUUUUUAAUAGCUCUUUUGCCGUUGUCCUGCCAUUAUUUAUUUUAUUUAUAAAAUAAUAAACAAUAAUGAAUAUAAAGGCAGUACAUUUUUUAAUUUUAUUAAUAUUAAUUUAAUUUAAUAAUUAUAAAGGGGACAAAAAAGAUAUCCCGGUUUAAGUAAAAAGAAUAAAAUGAAUUAAAGCUAGAAUCAAAUUGAGGAUAAACCAAAUAAUACUUAGAGUAGGGCCGAUAUCCGCAGAUACUAAGGGGAAUACUAAAGGUGAAAGCUUUUUAUCUACUAUUGAUUGACGCUGAGAAACGAAGGUGAGAACAGGAAAUAGGAUUUGAUACCCAGAUACCUCUCACUGUCAACGAUGAAUGGUGGUUGUUAGUUUUAAUAAAAACUGGUAACGAUGUUAACACGAUAACCAUUCCGCCUUGCGAGUACGGUUGCAAAACUGAAACCAAAAAAAUUAGUCGGUUUCGAAGCAAACG
This 659-nucleotide ribosomal RNA is filed under the name Tricholoma magnivelare. Its description in RNAcentral is "partial small subunit ribosomal RNA". It matches the Rfam family "Bacterial small subunit ribosomal RNA", at positions 395 to 931 of the family's 1533-position model. The record is from RNAcentral. Lineage: Eukaryota; Fungi; Basidiomycota; Agaricomycetes; Agaricales; Tricholomataceae.